UGUAGAUGUCGCCGUAAUUUUUCUAACAUUGUCAGGUGACAGAUGAUUAUUGUUUACUAAGUUAGUGUAAAGUUUUCAAUAAAAAGGAAUUAACAAUGCCAUUCCAGUGGUGUUUACAAAGGUGGAGAUUCUGGAUUCGACCCGUCACAAUGAUCACAUAUGGAAUCAUAAUUGUUAUUGUGCUUCCUUUGUGUAGUGUUCGAUUGAAAAAGGGAGGAGCAAAUCCAAAUGAUCAAGCAUGGCUGAGUGGAGGAAUUUUUGUUCUCAUGGCCCUACCCAUCACAUUUUGGGAAAUAACACAGCACUUAGUACACUACACUAAACCUUACUUACAAAAACACAUUAUUAGGAUUUUAUGGAUGGUACCAAUAUAUGCCCUGAAUGCUGUAAGUCAGUAGUUUGUGUGUACCUGUAUAUAUUUACGUGUAGUUAGUUUUUGUCUGUAUAGCUAGUUUUUGUGUCUGUAGUUUGUAAUAUAUUUCAUAAUGUAAUAGAACCACAGAUUUAACCCUACAAGAAUUCAGGAUCCAUAAUAAGUAAAAUCAGGUAAAUCUAAAGAUAACUUCAAGUUAAAUCAACAUUGUAACUGCUGUGUCUUCCUGUGGUUUAUUUAGGGUUACACAUGUAUAUAUUGUGCUAUUUUACAAAGUUUUAACACAUCUAUUCUGUCUUCCUGUGGUUUAUUUAGGGUUAUACAUGUAUAUAUUCUGCUAUUUUACAAAGUUUUAACACAUGUAUUCUGUCUUCCUGUGGUUUAUUUAGGGUUAUACAUGUAUAUAUUCUGCUAUUUUACAAAGUUUUAACACAUGUAUUCUGUCUUCCUGUGGUUUAUUUAGGGUUAUACAUGUAUAUAUUCUGCUAUUUUACAAAGUUUUAACAAGUGUAUUCCUCAUCCGUAAUCUCCAAUUGACACGUUUUAUAUGACAUAAUACAACAUAUUUUUCCUUCAUUUAUGAAGCAAUGCUAGUUACAGUGGUUAAAUUAUUAAAAUCGAAAACUAAGAAAUAACUUCUUAAUUAUGCAAAAAGUUGGUUUAAGGCACUAUAAUUAUUAGUAACUUUGGAGCAAAGUUUUCUGCUCUAACCAUAGCAGAGACAGAAUAAUACAAUGUUUUAUAUCUAAAUGCAACCCAGACAGAACAGUAUGAUGUUUUAUCUAUAACCCUGGUCCAGACUAAACAAUAUGAUAUUC
This is a long non-coding RNA of Limulus polyphemus (Atlantic horseshoe crab), 1191 nucleotides long. RefSeq lists it as uncharacterized. Lineage: Eukaryota; Metazoa; Arthropoda; Merostomata; Xiphosura; Limulidae. The record is from RefSeq and is a predicted model, not a curated record. The transcript has 3 exons.